Folsomia candida is the source of this 1554-nucleotide RNA transcript. It is a transcript of the gene named VIP36-like protein, with no coding region annotated. Lineage: Eukaryota; Metazoa; Arthropoda; Collembola; Entomobryomorpha; Isotomidae. The record is from RefSeq and is a predicted model, not a curated record. The transcript is spliced from 6 exons.
CAUGCACACAUUGCCUGACUGCGAACGUGGCAAUCAGACUGGAGCUCCAACACCAUCCAUUCUAUAAAAAUAAUAUUUAAUACCCAAAUUUCCUUUAAUCAUUAAUAAUAAAUUAUAAUGUUGACAUCCAACAAAACUCCAAUAAAACAUGUGCUCACCUUUGCCCUUUUGUGUACCCUCUCAUUCCCGAGUGUUUGGGCCCAGUUCUUUUCUAUGGACUAUAAGGAAAGUGCUUAUCGAGAGCAGCACUCCCUAAACAGACCCUACGCCGAUAGUGGACACUGGGAUGGAUUUGGUGCGGCUGCAAUAACCCCAGAAUAUAUUCGGCUGACUCCAGAUCUCAAAUCGCAACAAGGGGGAAUCUGGAAUAACAAACGCGUCGAUAUGCGGGGCUGGGGGGUUCACAUUAAUUUCAAAAUUCACGGACAAGGCUCUAUAAAUGGAGAUGGGAUAGCCUUCUGGUACUCCAAGGAACGGAUGAUGCCCGGUCCCGUAUUCGGAUCAAAGGACUAUUUCUCAGGUCUCGGGGUUUUCAUCGACACCUUCGGAAACCACGUGUCUCCAUCCACUGCUUCAAGAAGUGAAUCACACCGCAAUCACGAACACCCUUACAUAUCCAUCAUUGUGAAUAACGGAAGUCAGAAAUAUGAUCAUGAUCACGACGGGGGUCAUCAAAAUUUGGGUGGAUGUUCGGUAAAAGUUCGAAACAAAAAUUCCACCCAAAUCCUGGUCCGAUAUGACAUCAGUAUGCUCACCGUACUUCGCGACGUCGAUGGGAAAGGGUUGUGGGACAUUUGCGCCCAAGUGGAUGGUAUCGAGCUACCGACCGGAUAUUACUUUGGGCUCUCAGCCGCAACAGGGGAUCUGUCUGAUAAUCACGACAUUUUUUAUGUCCAGACGUACGAGGCAAACAAUAACGAAAUGGGUGUCCAUAGGAUACACGGGAGUAGGGACGGUAUUAUUCCAUCCGCAAGAAGAGAUAGAUCACCACAGGAUGAAGGUGGGGCCUGGUCUGUCAUCAGAAUUAUUCUAGUUUUAGGGGCUGUAGGUGUAAUUGCCGCAUGUGGAUAUGGACUGGUCGCCAUUACUGCAACUAAACCUAAAGGAACGUAAUGAAUUUGAAGGAAUGCUUAGUUCGAGAGCAACAAACCAUACAUUGGCACUUGCACGGUGUUCGAUUGUACUUCGGUUAAGUACGGAUGGCUCGCAAUGCGAUUUUUGAUACGUCCAGUGGCCGCGGAAGCUUGGGGACAUGGGGACAGUCAAUGUAUUUGUCCCCACAUUAUCGAAAUAAGAAGAUUCAGCCUAACCUGACACCUAAGUUGUUGACAUACCCACGACGCCAGGUAAUGGGUUGGGAUCCUCCCUGGGGCUGUGGGUAUGUCAACGCGUCCCUAACCUUACCGAUGCCAAGUGCUAGGAAAUGACUGAAAAUAAAGAACCUUCCCAACCCGGGUACGCUCGCAUUUUUUGAAAUUUCUAUAGGUUCUUUAAAAGAAUUUAGGAAAGAUGUGCCAAAUGCAACUUAAUACAAGAAGUAAAAUUACAUGCUAA